Fundulus heteroclitus (mummichog) is the source of this 657-nucleotide long non-coding RNA. RefSeq lists it as uncharacterized. NCBI's taxonomy places the organism in Eukaryota, Metazoa, Chordata, Actinopteri, Cyprinodontiformes, Fundulidae. The record is from RefSeq and is a predicted model, not a curated record. The transcript has 3 exons.
GCUAAAGGGAACAGACUUCGCCAGUAGAAGGAGCACAGAGGGGAAUUUAGGGGAAUCUGCCAGUAACUGCAUCACAUGACAACCGAACAGCAUGGCGGUGGCGGCAUCUUGCUGUGUGGAUGAUUUUCUACAACAGGAGCAAGGAAGAUUGUCAGAGUUGAUGGGAAGAUGGAUGGAGUUAAUCUUGGAAGAAAACCUUUUAGAGGGAGAAAAAGACUCAAGCCUGGGGUGGAAACUUUAUUUCAACACAACGACCCCAAAUAUACAACCAGACCUACAAUGGAAUGGUUUGGAUCAAAGCAUAUUUACCGAUGCUGAUGUGACUCCUCUGAUGUGAGCUGCUGUAACGACCGCUGGAUGUCUUGUAGAGUUUCAAACAGAGGAGAUUUGGUGACUAAUUUGGACAGAUCGUCAUCACUAAGACAAGGAGCUGUGGUCUGUGCACAGUCUAGAGAACAGAUAAAUAAGUUACAUGCAAUACAUUUUUAAAGUACAUAUUAUUUUGUUCCAAUGUAUCCAAAACGUAACCAACCAAAAAGUGUGAAGAUUUGUUUCUGACCUGUUUCAUUAGAAUGAGAUUCUCCUUUAUUCACUGACAUUGAUGAAAACUGGGGACAGUUAAAAAAGAAAAAUAAACACAACUUUUACAUUCCCAAA